GUUAGUUUCAAAUUGGUGUUGUUAGUCCAAAUGUGAGAUCCAUUCUUGACAAGGGUUUUCCUCUCAGUGAUGACUGCAGGACUAUCUUCCCUGAAAGAUGUAAGCUAUUUCAAGGUGGUCAAGAACUGUAACACCAAAGCUGUCAUUUAUCCAUCUACCAAAUCUGCCUCACCUUAAGGGACCAAAACCACAAGGAUGGCUUUUAAAUUUGAAAGGGUGCUUUAAAAAGCACAUGGGAACUGAGACGUCAAAAAGGAAAGAUGAGCUGCUGACACUUUUAACAAGCCAAAAUGAAGAGAAAGUGCAUGAUUCAUUAGACAAUGUCAAGAAAGGAAAAAAAGUUCCACUAAUCAUAACAAGACAGAGAAAGGAAAACUAGACCCAAACCUUGCCCAUAUGUUCAGUGGUAAAGAAAACUUUAAAUAUGCUCUCAAAAAAUGUGAAGAGAGGAGGAGGAGGUCCUAAGAGCCAUAGAAAGUGUGUUCCAAAUGGCAAGGGGAUAAUAUGAAAAUGUGAAAUGUGAAAAUGAGUGUGGAACACAGCCCUUCACUUCAUCGACACUCUGUGAGAUCCUGUAAGAGGGACAUAUGGAAGCUCAAAACAAGAAGAAAGUGGGAACUUCUUAGCAG
RNAcentral lists this long non-coding RNA (629 nucleotides) under Monodelphis domestica (gray short-tailed opossum). Its description in RNAcentral is "lncRNA (ENSMODG00000049947.1)". Lineage: Eukaryota; Metazoa; Chordata; Mammalia; Didelphimorphia; Didelphidae. The record is from RNAcentral.